Lontra canadensis (Northern American river otter) is the source of this 483-nucleotide long non-coding RNA. RefSeq lists it as uncharacterized. The record is from RefSeq and is a predicted model, not a curated record. Lineage: Eukaryota; Metazoa; Chordata; Mammalia; Carnivora; Mustelidae. The transcript has 3 exons.
GGGAUGAGGCCGGCGGUCAGAGACUCGUGGGGACAAGGCUGGCGAGGACGACUGGGGGUCAGGAGCGGGAGGUGUUAGGAGGGCCCGGGAUCCGCACGUCUUUCUUCAUGUCGGCGGCUCGCAGGGGCCGGUCUCGGCCCGCACGCAUGGAGCGGACACCUCUCGCCGGGAGCGCCCACCCCGCGGCGCCGCUCUCCCAGCGCUGCGGAAUUGGGGCCGGAGAAGGUACUUGUCCAAGGUCACAUAGCUAGAGCCUGGCAGUGACUCAGGACGGGAAUAUUCUCACCGGACUAUAAUCUCCGGGAGGGCAGCGACUUGCCUACCAGGUUUUCAGUAGCGUCAUAGGACAUAGCCCUCAGAAAAUGCUUCAUUGAUGAAAGGGUGACCGGCUCCCGGAAUAGAGCCUUUUUCACUACCCAUAAACCACCACCCUGGUUCCUUUUUGUCUGUGAUGCUUACAAAAUACAGUUUUAAACAAUGACA